GACGAACGCUGGCGGCGUGCUUAACACAUGCAAGUCGAACGGAAAGGCCCUGCUUUUGUGGGGUGCUCGAGUGGCGAACGGGUGAGUAACACGUGAGUAACCUGCCCUUGACUUCGGGAUAACUUCAGGAAACUGGGGCUAAUACCGGAUAGGAGCUCCUGCUGCAUGGUGGGGGUUGGAAAGUUUCGGCGGUUGGGGAUGGACUCGCGGCUUAUCAGCUUGUUGGUGGGGUAGUGGCUUACCAAGUCUUUGACGGGUAGCCGGCCUGGGAGGGUGGCCGGCCACAUUGGGACUGAGAUACGGCCCAGACUCCAACGGGAGGCAGCAGUGGGGAAUAUUGCACAAUGGGCGGAAGCCUGAUACAGCGACGCCGCGUGCGGAAUGACGGCCUUCGGGUUGUGAACCGCUUUCGCCUGUGACGAAGCGGGAGUGACGGUAAUGGGUAAAGAAGCACCGGCUAACUACGUG
RNAcentral lists this ribosomal RNA (468 nucleotides) under uncultured bacterium. Its description in RNAcentral is "partial 16S ribosomal RNA". It matches the Rfam family "Bacterial small subunit ribosomal RNA", at positions 28 to 507 of the family's 1533-position model. The record is from RNAcentral.